This 497-nucleotide ribosomal RNA is filed under the name uncultured bacterium. Its description in RNAcentral is "partial 16S ribosomal RNA". It matches the Rfam family "Bacterial small subunit ribosomal RNA", at positions 28 to 507 of the family's 1533-position model. The record is from RNAcentral.
GAUGAACGCUGGCGGCGUGCCUAAUACAUGCAAGUCGAGCGAACAGACGAGGACCUUGCUCCUCUGACGUUAUCGGCGGACGGGUGAGUAACACGUGGAUAACCUACCUAUCAGACUGGGAUAACUUCGGGAAACCGGAGCUAAUACCGGAUAACAUAUUGAAUCACAUUGGUCAACAGUUAAAUACGGUCGUGCUGACACUAAUAGAUGACUACGCGCCGAAUUAGCUAGUUGUCAAGGUGAAGGCUUACCAAGGCAAGGAGGCUAACACGACCCGAGAGGGAGAUCGGCCACCCGGGAACUGAGGCACGGUCCAGACUCCUGCGGGAGGCAGCAGCCGGGACUCUUACGCGAGGGGGGAAAGCCUGACAUAGCAACGCCGGGGAAAUGAAGAAGGACUUCGGAUGGGUAAACUCUGUUAGUAGGGAAGAAGAAAUGUGUAAGUAACUAGGAACAUAUUGACGGUACCUGAUCAGAAAGCCACGGCUAACUACGUG